RNAcentral lists this long non-coding RNA (3277 nucleotides) under Sus scrofa (pig). RNAcentral describes it as "lncRNA (ENSSSCG00035019174.1)". The record is from RNAcentral. Lineage: Eukaryota; Metazoa; Chordata; Mammalia; Artiodactyla; Suidae.
AUCUGUAAAAGCAAAAUUAAUAGCAGCACUGCUUAUUUAUGAAAUAUCGGGCAUAUUUUUUCUUUUCUUUUUCUUUCUUUCUUUUCUUUUUUUUUUUUUUUUUUUUGCCAUACCCAUGGCAUGUGGAGUUUCCCGGGCCAGGGAUCGAACUCCCGUCAUAGCACUGACACUGGAUCCUUAACCACUAGGCCUCCCCGGAAUUCUGAAUCAAGAAUAAUUUUUAUCACAUAGGCUAAAUUAUUUUGGGAGUGGGUUAUAUAAUUUGAAAGUAAUUGAAACUUAGCACAUGAUAGGCUCAAUGAAUAUGGGUGAACUUAACCAAAUGUCUUUGAGCUCCUAGAAAUGAUGGACAGAGACGGUGCAAUGCAGCAUUAUUUAAGCUGUGUGUGGUGACCAAUUUAAUUUAAGAAAUGAAAUGGGGGAGUUCCUGUUGUGGCUCAUUGAAAACGAAUCUGACUAGCAUCCACGAGGACACAGGUUUGAUCUUUGGCCUCGAUAGUAGAUUAGGGAUCUGGCAUUGCUGUGAGCUGUGGUGUAGGUGGCAGACUCCGCUUGGAUCCUGAUGCGGAUUGCUGUAGCUGUGGUGUAGGCCAGCGGCUACAGCUCUGAUUCGGAUUCGACCCCUAGCCUGGGAAUCUCCAUAUGCCGCAGGCAUGGCCCUAAAAAGACAAAAGAUGCCCACAAAAAAGAAAUGGAAUGAAAUGGAAUGGGAAAUACCAGAGUAUGUGGUAUGUAUUAAGGGCAAAGCAUUGAGCUAUAAUAUUUGCUUCCCAUAUGUAUAUAAGCAUACGGAGUCACAAUGAAUUUUUUUUCUAAUAAGGGCUGUGGUGAGGAAUAUUUAAAAGCCAGUUGUUUAGAGGAAAUUCAACUAUCAGUUGGAUAGCUGAAUCCUGUUGUUGUUGAUGAUGACAACAGCUAAAAUUGGAAUGGUUACCAUGUACCAGUGCUUUUAUUUUUUUUACACACAUCACAUUUUAUUUGGAAAACACAUAUAAUGUAGCUACAUAACAAAGAAUAAAAUGUAAGGAUUUCCUACCAUUGUUCUCACAAAUACCCACCAAGAUGGGCACAUAAUACUAAUGGUCUCUGUUUCAGAGAGGUUGAUGUGCCUUCCCAGGGUCAUGGAGCUGCCGCAGAAGUGGAGCUGCGAUGUGAACAAAGAUGAUCUGUCUCCAGGGUCAGUGGACUAGAAUCACCAUGUUUUCAUUUAAGACACCUUGAACUAAGCAGUUCUCAACCUUUUGAUCAUUGCAGAGUGGCUCUGCCCUCGGAGGACAGCCCACAGAAGCAAAAGAUGAAGCUAGCCUUGAUCCCAUCUAGUUCUGGCCCUUUGGUUUCAUGGCAGCCAUGCAUUAUGGUAGGAAGCCCUGGCUUUAGAAUAGAGGCUUGAAUUGACUGUGAUAUCAAACAGUUGCUAACCUUUGUGAGUCUUGGCUUCCUCCUCUAUUUUCUUCAUCCUUUUCCAUAGAGCUGUUGUCCCCUGAAUAUAUGUGCUUAUUUAUUUAUUUUGGCCACAUCCAUGGCGUGGAAGUUCCCGGCACAGGCGUUGAACCCAGGCCACAGCAGUGACAAUGCCAGACCCUUUAAUUGCUAGGCAACCAGGGCACUCUUGAACCCAUGCUCUUCAAAGCACCUACUCCGUGCCAGUUGCUGUUCUAAGCAUUUCUCCUGUUCGGGUGCAGUGAAGUCUCACAGAACCCUACGUGGUAGAUCCUGUUAGCAUCCCUCUUUUACUAGGGUCAAAACUGAAGGCUUAAAAGGACCAGGAACUUGCCCAGACUCACGUAGCUAUUAAGGGACAUUGCUGUGAGUUCAGCCCAUGUAGACCUUCUCCAGAGCAGUGGUUUUAACCAUGACGCUAAAGAUCCUCCACAAAUGCUAAAGAAAUCCUUCUUAAGUUUUCCCCAUUCAACUCUUUGGACAUCUUUCUGAGUCCUUUUUGAUUGGUCUGAAAGUUCCUUCUAGCUAAUAGAAACAUCCGUUCAGUAGUGUCAGCCAUCAGCCUUCUCCCCUCUAACUCCAUUUGUGGGAUGAAGGAUGGGCUUUCCCCUCCUAGGCCUGUAAAGGUUAUGCCAGCUUUCUCCUGAGCUCAGAGGAGCAGUUUCUCCAAAGUUCCUCUCUUCCUGAACCCAUUUCUUCAAGUCCUCAGGCUUCCUGGCAAGAAUUAACUUUUUUGUUAGUUUAUUCAUUAUUUGAAGUUGCAAAUAUUAACUCUACAGCCUCUCCAACCAUCGGCUCCAUUUCCUCUCUCUUGUCUCUUCCACUAUUUUAUGCAACUUAAAUUCGACUUAAAUUCUUUAAAAAGGACUGUUUUUAAAUGACUCAUGUAGUAAUUUUCCAUAUGCUCUUUUAACACAUCAUGUUUAAAAUGAAGACCGUAACAGGCUGCAAGUAACUGAAAGUGUAUUGAAACAUAUUUCUGAGUGUUGACAUUCAGAGAGUCUGGCAAUUUUUUUUUUUAAUAGUCACACCUGCAGCCUAUGGAAGUUCCUAGGCUAGGGGUUGAAUCGUUGCUACAGCUGCCAGCCUAUGCCACAGCCACAGCAGUGCCAGAUCCGAGCUGCAUCUGUGACCUGCACCGUAGCUUGCAGCAACGUUGGAAUCUUAACCCACUGACGAAGGCCAGGGAUCAAACCUGCCUCCUCACAGAGACAAUGUUGGGUUCUUUCCCCACUGAGUCACAGUGGGAAUGCCAUCGUCUGGUAAUAUUUUCCUAUCAGUCAUUUGAGGAAAACUGGGGGCUUUGAACCAAUGUUGGAAUUAUUUUUCCUCCCAGUAGAGAUGCAAGCUGAGUCCUAGAGCUUAGGAGUAGCCUCCAGAUGUCUUCUUUCUGGCUUGGCCUUUCAGAUAGAGACAAGGAAGCAAAGAAAAUGAGCAGUUACAAAAUGUUUCCCUUCUAACCCCUCCAGCCUGAUUUAGUACAGAAUAGGUAGCCUUAUUUUUUAUUAUAACAAAUUAUCUGUAAUAGCAAUGGAGAACAGCUGCUUGCUAACCUCCUCCCAUAUUGCUUUUUAUACUUUAAUUCCAAUUUUAGGUCACUUCUUCCUAAGGUCAAAUCCUUUGAGUUUCCCUUGGCCAAGCUCUCAAUUCUCAGCUUUUAUUUGUCUUUACAGCAUUUUGCCCACAUCCAGAUUUUCAACCUGUUACAGCCUAUUAAUGUUUAAUCCACAGUACAGAUACUGCUGCUGGAUUAAGGAUAAGAUAGCUGUCACCUCUAUGGGAAUGAUUAUAGAAAGCAACAGGAAGAACAUGAAAAAGAAAAAAAACUAAACAAAGC